Molecule: ribosomal RNA, 301 nt
Filed under: uncultured bacterium
Lineage: Bacteria
Description: partial 16S ribosomal RNA
Rfam family: Bacterial small subunit ribosomal RNA
Source: RNAcentral
CAGUAGCCGCGGUAAUACGAAGGGGGCUAGCGUUACUCGGAAUUACUGGGCGUAAAGGGCGCGUAGGCGGCGCUCCAAGUUAGGCGUGAAAGUCCUGGGCUCAACCUGGGAACUGCGCUUAAGACUGGAGUGCUUGAGGAUGGAAGAGGGUUGUGGAAUUCCCAGUGUAGAGGUGAAAUUCGUAGAUAUUCGGAGGAACACCAGUGGCGAAGGCGGCUCACUGGUCCAUUACUGACGCUGAGGUGCGAAAGCGUGGGGAGCAAACAGGAUUAGAUACCCCCGUAGUCCCUGUCUCUUAUAC